Molecule: ribosomal RNA, 548 nt
Filed under: uncultured bacterium
Lineage: Bacteria
Description: partial 16S ribosomal RNA
Rfam family: Bacterial small subunit ribosomal RNA
Source: RNAcentral
UGGGGAAUUUUGGACAAUGGGCGCAAGCCUGAUCCAGCCAUGCCGCGUGCGGGAAGAAGGCCUUCGGGUUGUAAACCGCUUUUGUCAGGGAAGAAAUCUUCUGAGUUAAUACCUCGGGAGGAUGACGGUACCUGAAGAAUAAGCACCGGCUAACUACGUGCCAGCAGCCGCGGUAAUACGUAGGGUGCAAGCGUUAAUCGGAAUUACUGGGCGUAAAGCGUGCGCAGGCGGUUUUGUAAGACAGAGGUGAAAUCCCCGGGCUCAACCUGGGAACUGCCUUUGUGACUGCAAGGCUUGAGUGCGGCAGAGGGGGAUGGAAUUCCGCGUGUAGCAGUGAAAUGCGUAGAUAUGCGGAGGAACACCGAUGGCGAAGGCAAUCCCCUGGGCCUGCACUGACGCUCAUGCACGAAAGCGUGGGGAGCAAACAGGAUUAGAUAGCCCUGGUAGUCCACGCCCUAAACGAUGUCAACUGGUUGUUGGGAAGGUUCCUUCUCAGUAACGUAGCUAACGCGUGGAGUUGACCGCCUGGGGAGUACGGCCGCAAGGUU